This 76-nucleotide transfer RNA is filed under the name Spirochaetia bacterium. RNAcentral describes it as "tRNA-Pro". It matches the Rfam family "tRNA". From Rfam's summary of the family: Transfer RNA (tRNA) molecules are approximately 80 nucleotides in length. Their secondary structure includes four short double-helical elements and three loops (D, anti-codon, and T loops). Further hydrogen bonds mediate the characteristic L-shaped molecular structure. tRNAs have two regions of fundamental functional importance: the anti-codon, which is responsible for specific mRNA codon recognition, and the 3' end, to which the tRNAs corresponding amino acid is attached (by aminoacyl-tRNA synthetases). tRNAs cope with the degeneracy of the genetic code in two manners: having more than one tRNA (with a specific anti-codon) for a particular amino acid; and 'wobble' base-pairing, i.e. permitting non-standard base-pairing at the 3rd anti-codon position. The record is from RNAcentral. Lineage: Bacteria; Pseudomonadati; Spirochaetota; Spirochaetia.
UCGGAGGGUAGGCCAGUGGUUAAGCCACGAGUUUUGGGAACUCGAUGUCGGGGGUUCAAAUCCCCCCUCUCCGAAC